CAGCCGCCACGGUAAUACCGAGGGUGCAAGCGUUAUCCGGAUUUAUUGGGUUUAAAGGGUCCGUAGGCGGACUUAUAAGUCAGUGGUGAAAGCCUGUCGCUUAACGAUAGAACUGCCAUUGAUACUGUAAGUCUUGAGUAUAUUUGAGGUAGCUGGAAUAAGUAGUGUAGCGGUGAAAUGCAUAGAUAUUACUUAGAACACCAAUUGCGAAGGCAGGUUACCAAGAUAUAACUGACGCUGAGGGACGAAAGCGUGGGUAGCGAACAGGAUUAGAUACCCCGGUAGUCCCUGUCUCUUAUAC
This 301-nucleotide ribosomal RNA is filed under the name uncultured bacterium. RNAcentral's name for it is "partial 16S ribosomal RNA". It matches the Rfam family "Bacterial small subunit ribosomal RNA", at positions 509 to 807 of the family's 1533-position model. The record is from RNAcentral.